RNAcentral lists this ribosomal RNA (253 nucleotides) under uncultured bacterium. RNAcentral's name for it is "partial 16S ribosomal RNA". It matches the Rfam family "Bacterial small subunit ribosomal RNA", at positions 524 to 776 of the family's 1533-position model. The record is from RNAcentral.
UACAGAGGUCUCAAGCGUUGUUCGGAUUUACUGGGCGUAAAGGGUGCGUAGGCGGCGCGGUAAGUCGGGUGUGAAAUCUUGGAGCUUAACUCCGAAACUGCAUUCGAUACUGUCGUGCUUGAGGACUGGAGAGGAGACUGGAAUUUACGGUGUAGCGGUGAAAUGCGUAGAUAUCGUAAGGAAGACCAGUGGCGAAGGCGGGUCUCUGGGCAGUUCCUGACGCUGAAGCACGAAGGCCAGGGGAGCAAACGGG